UACGUAGGGUGCGAGCGUUAAUCGGAAUUACUGGGCGUAAAGUGUGCGUAGGCGGCUUCGCAAGUCGAGUGUGAAAUCCCCGAGCUUAACUUGGGAAUUGCGCUCGAAACUACGGAGCUAGAGUGUGGCAGAGGAAGGUGGAAUUCCACGUGUAGCGGUGAAAUGCGUAGAUAUGUGGAGGAACACCGAUGGCGAAGGCAGCCUUCUGGGCCAACACUGACGCUCAUGCACGAAAGCGUGGGGAGCAAACGGG
RNAcentral lists this ribosomal RNA (253 nucleotides) under uncultured bacterium. RNAcentral's name for it is "partial 16S ribosomal RNA". It matches the Rfam family "Bacterial small subunit ribosomal RNA", at positions 524 to 776 of the family's 1533-position model. The record is from RNAcentral.